This 264-nucleotide ribosomal RNA is filed under the name uncultured bacterium. RNAcentral's name for it is "partial 16S ribosomal RNA". It matches the Rfam family "Bacterial small subunit ribosomal RNA", at positions 90 to 354 of the family's 1533-position model. The record is from RNAcentral.
UUCGAGUGGCGGACGGGUGAGUAACGCGUGGGUAACCUGCCUUACACAGGGGGAUAACACCUGGAAACAGGUGCUAAUACCGCAUAAGCGCACAGGGCCGCAUGGCCCGGUGUGAAAAACUCCGGUGGUGUAAGAUGGACCCGCGUCUGAUUAGCUUGUUGGCGGGGUAGGGGCCCGCCAAGGCGACGAUCAGUAGCCGGCCUGAGAGGGUGGACGGCCACAUUGGGACUGAGACACGGCCCAAACUCCUACGGGAGGCAGCAG